Molecule: ribosomal RNA, 738 nt
Filed under: Azadinium trinitatum
Lineage: Eukaryota; Dinophyceae; Gonyaulacales; Amphidomataceae
Description: partial large subunit ribosomal RNA
Rfam family: Eukaryotic large subunit ribosomal RNA
Source: RNAcentral
UUUAAGCAUAUAAGUAAGCGGAGGACAAGAAACUAAAUAGGAUUCCCCUAGUAAUGGCGAAUGAACAGGGAUGAGCUCAGCAUGGAAAUUGGGGUCUCCCGACCUUGAAUUGUAGUCUUGAGAUGUACUGCCAACGGAGGCGCAGAUGUAAGCCUCUUGGAAAAGAGCAUCAACGAGGGUGAGAGUCCCGUUUGUCAUCUGCAGUCCCCCGUGCACGGUGUACCUUCUAAGAGUCACGUUCCUCGGGAUUGGAGCGCAAAGUGGGUGGUAAAUUUCAUCUAAAGCUAAAUAUUGGUUCGAGACCGAUAGCAAACAAGUACCAUGAGGGAAAGGUGAAAAGGACUUUGAAAAGAGAGUUAAAAGUGCCUGAAAUUGCUGAAAGGGAAGCGAAUGGAACCAGUGUUCUUGGUGAGAUUGUUGCGUACUCUGGUGAUUGCUGGGUGUUCCACCGCAAGGGGGGCAUUUGGUUUUGAUCUAGAUGUGCGUGGUGUUUCUUGCCUUGUGUGUCACCGUCGGUGCACGAGCGAGUAAAACUCCAAGGACAUGGAAACUCGACCAUGGUUGAGUGAAUAUCUUUGGCAGUACUCAUUUGUGUAUCGAUCCCUGCGUGUCUGGUUGCAGUGUUUGGUUCGCUUGGAAUGUUCUUCUAGGAUUCGUCCUUGGAGACGUUUUGGGCGCCCUGAGCAUCUCCCUGACACAAAGACGAUGACUAAAUGGUUUUAUUCGACCCGUCUUGAA